GUUUAUUAAAAACAUUUCUUCCUUUUUUGGAAGUACACCCUGCUCAAUGAAUAAUUGUUUCAAUAGCCGCAGUAUACUGACUGUGCAAAGGUAGCAUAAUAACUUGUUUUUUUAAUUAAAUUGCUGAAUGAAUGGGGUAAGGAUAUGUUGAAGUUUUCUUUAUUAAUUAAGAACUUAAUAAAAAGAGUAAAAAUUUCUCUUUUUUUCUGUUUAAGACGAAAAGACCCUAUUAGAACUUGAAAUAAUUGUUUGUUUUUGUUUGGGGGUAAUCGUAUUUGUUGUAAAUACAUGUAGAUAAAAAGUUUCCUUAGGGACAACAAGGGAAUUAUACUUGAGAGUUCGAAUCGAAGGUAGAGAUUCCUAUCUCGAUGUUGAAUCAAAAUAACUUUUAGGUGUAGAGGCUUAAGGAGUUAGCCUGUUCGGCUAUUAAAAUUUUACGUGAUUUGAGUUCAGACCGAUGUAAU
RNAcentral lists this ribosomal RNA (464 nucleotides) under Bdelloura candida. RNAcentral describes it as "partial 16S ribosomal RNA". It matches the Rfam family "Bacterial large subunit ribosomal RNA", at positions 1802 to 2625 of the family's 2925-position model. The record is from RNAcentral. Lineage: Eukaryota; Metazoa; Platyhelminthes; Tricladida; Bdellouridae.